Molecule: non-coding RNA, 31 nt
Filed under: Mus musculus (house mouse)
Lineage: Eukaryota; Metazoa; Chordata; Mammalia; Rodentia; Muridae
Source: RNAcentral
UAGAUCUAUGCCCUUUGAACUGUUCCAUAGC